RNAcentral lists this ribosomal RNA (469 nucleotides) under uncultured bacterium. RNAcentral describes it as "bacterial SSU rRNA". It matches the Rfam family "Bacterial small subunit ribosomal RNA", at positions 334 to 793 of the family's 1533-position model. The record is from RNAcentral.
CACUCCUACGGGAGGCAGCAGUGGGGAAUAUUGCACAAUGGGCGCAAGCCUGAUGCAGCCAUGCCGCGUGUAUGAAGUAAGGCCUUCGGGUUGUAAAGUACUUUCGGCAGUGAGGAAGGUGGAUAUGUUAAUAGCAUAUUCAUUUGACGUUAGCUGCAGAAGAAGCACCGGCUAACUCCGUGCCAGCAGCCGCGGUAAUACGGAGGGUGCGAGCGUUAAUCGGAAUUACUGGGCGUAAAGCGCAUGCAGGUGGUUUGUUAAGUCAGAUGUGAAAGCCCCGGGGCUCAACCUCGGAAUUGCAUUUGAAACUGGCAAACUAGAGUACUGUAGAGGGGGUAGAAUUUCAGGUGUAGCGGUGAAAAUGCGUAGAGAUCUGAAGGAAUACCGGUGGCGAAGGCGGCCCCCUGGACAGAUACUGACACUCAGAUGCGAAAGCGUGGGGAGCAAACAGGAUUAGAUACCCUGGUAG